UUUUUCACAAGCUUGAGUUAAUAUAGAGAACUGCUGUUCAGUGAACUCAGCUCAGUCAAUAUUCAGAGGGAAAGGAAGAACCUGAGAGCUGGAAGCUGCAGACUUCACCCAUACCAUCCACAGCCCACCUUAUCCAGGACCACAGGUGAUUUUGCUCAACUUGAGUUCAUCUGUCUUUGGAAUUUCCUUCUUGAAACAGACUCUGGUCUUAGCCCAUUGCACCUUCCAGCAUGUGAUGACCCAUCUUCACUUGUCACCUUGACAGACUUUAGAGUCCCCAAGGAGACAAAGCUCUGGGCAUGCCCACAGAGAGGCUUAAUUAACUGAUGAGGGAAGACCCACCCUGAGCGCAGCGCGCACCGUGCUCUGGGAUAGUGUCUUAGGUCGAACAGAAUGGAAACCGGAAGACUCUGCAUGAUCCCCUGGGUUUCUUUGCUUCCUGACCCACAGCAAAGGGAGCAAGUUCUUGCCCCUCUCCACGUUCCGCCCCUCCAUGAUUGAGUGUGUGUCUUGAGCUGUGAGUCAGAAUAAAUCUUUCCUUCAA
RNAcentral lists this long non-coding RNA (544 nucleotides) under Mus pahari (shrew mouse). RNAcentral's name for it is "lncRNA (MGP_PahariEiJ_G0005987.1)". The record is from RNAcentral. Lineage: Eukaryota; Metazoa; Chordata; Mammalia; Rodentia; Muridae.